This 286-nucleotide small RNA is filed under the name Thalassocella blandensis. Its description in RNAcentral is "Teredinibacter sp. ISS155 5_ureB_sRNA". It matches the Rfam family "5' ureB small RNA". The record is from RNAcentral. Lineage: Bacteria; Pseudomonadati; Pseudomonadota; Gammaproteobacteria; Cellvibrionales; Cellvibrionaceae.
CUUCUUCUAUCUGUUGCGGGCAAAUGAAAUGUAUAUGUGCAUCAAUAGCGCCGGCUGUCAGAAUUUGCCCUUCUCCCGCAAUCACUUCCGUGCCGGGACCUAUUUGAAAAUCCACUCCUGGUUGAAUAUCCGGGUUGCCAGCUUUACCGAUGGCCAUAAUGCGUCCCGCUUUCAUUGCAACAUCGGCUUUGACAAUCCCCCAGUGAUCCAAAAUCAGCGCGUUCGUAAUUACAGUAUCCGGAGUAUCUUCGCUCGAUGCCUGACUCUGUCCCAUUCCAUCGCGAAU